RNAcentral lists this long non-coding RNA (232 nucleotides) under Gossypium barbadense (sea-island cotton). Its description in RNAcentral is "long non-coding RNA (GBAR_LNC008032)". The record is from RNAcentral. Lineage: Eukaryota; Viridiplantae; Streptophyta; Magnoliopsida; Malvales; Malvaceae.
CUGCCCCUCUUUGCUCGUUGUUGUGUAACAAGAACGGAGUAAAUACCCUAAAAGGACCAAUUUUGCCCGGUCUUGCUGAAUCUUUGACUUCUUCAGUGCUCCUCUUCUUCAAGUAGUCUUACAGCAACUUCAAGAAGAUAAGGUUUGUGACUUCAACCUGCUCCACUACAAUUUCAGGGAGACAAAGUCGGUGGCUAAAAUCUGCUCCAUAGCCGAUACAUGGAGAUAAGAC